CUGUUUCCACACAGCCUGGGCUCCUGCCUUUUGUAGGGGGAUGUCUGUGCCUGCUGGGGAGGGAGCGGAUGAGAGGACAGGGUGGGGAAGGACCAUCAAUCCUGUCAGGAGCUCUCUCUCCCUCUUGCUGCAAGCCCCAGGGGACCAGCCGAAAGGGGAGGUGAGGGAACUGGAAGGUGGGGGUUUGAAGAGGGGAGAGGGGAGAAUAGGAGGAGGAUGUGGAGCUGGGAGUGGAAGGAGAAACGGGAGGAAAAGGCGAUGCUGGGGAUGAAGGGGGCUGCUCGCAGAUGUGCCUGGUGGAGAGAUGGCCCAGAGGUCGGACAGAAGAGACGAUCAAAGAGCAAUGGGAGGAGCUGAGACAGGAGGGGAGCCGGGGGCCUGUGCUGCGGGUCUGAGCUCAUUUCCACUAAAAGCUCCUAAAAGGGCCGACAUGGAUUGGGGUGGGGACCAAGGCUGGGAGGAAAGCUGAAGAGCGCUGUCCCCCUCCCAGGCUCUGCCCACCUCCCAGGUUCAGUCAAUGGGUCUGAGGCUCCUGUCCUGUCUCACCUUCAGCUGUCCCCUGGUGGAGCAGAGAUGGGCAGCUCCCUUCCCUCACUUCACCCUCUCAGCCGUGGGGAAAGGACAGUGGC
RNAcentral lists this long non-coding RNA (629 nucleotides) under Homo sapiens (human). RNAcentral describes it as "HSALNT0167041". The record is from RNAcentral. Lineage: Eukaryota; Metazoa; Chordata; Mammalia; Primates; Hominidae.